AAAUGAAUAGACGGGGGCCCGCACAAGCGGUGGAGCAUGUGGUUUAAUUCGAUGCAACGCGAAGAACCUUACCGAGACUUGACAUCCCGUGACCAUCUAUGAAAGUAGAGUAUAGCUUCGGCUACACGGAGACAGGUGGUGCAUGGUUGUCGUCAGCUCGUGUCGUGAGAUGUUGGGUUAAGUCCCGCAACGAGCGCAACCCUUAUCCUUAGUUGCCAGCGAGUGAAGUCGGGAACUCUAAGGAGACAGCCGGUGAAAGCCGGAGGAAGGUGGGGAUGACGUCAAAUCAUCAUGCCCUUUAUGUCUCGGGCUACACACGUGCUACAAUGGUCAGUACAGAGGGGAGCGAAAGCGUGAGCUGGAGCAAAUCUCAGAAAGCUGAUCUCAGUUCGGAUUGCAGGCUGAAACCCGCCUGCAUGAAGUCGGAAUCGCUAGUAAUCGCAGGUCAGCAUACUGCGGUGAAUACGUUCCCGGGCCUUGUACACACCGCCCGU
Molecule: ribosomal RNA, 494 nt
Filed under: uncultured bacterium
Lineage: Bacteria
Description: bacterial SSU rRNA
Rfam family: Bacterial small subunit ribosomal RNA
Source: RNAcentral